This is a long non-coding RNA of Thrips palmi, 491 nucleotides long. RefSeq lists it as uncharacterized. The transcript is spliced from 3 exons. The record is from RefSeq and is a predicted model, not a curated record. Lineage: Eukaryota; Metazoa; Arthropoda; Insecta; Thysanoptera; Thripidae.
GCGACGGACGGCACCAGCAUUCUCUCCGGCUGCACCGACGCCAGCGUGCGCCAGCGCUCCGCUCCGCCGCGUGUCCGAGACGAGCAAGACCGCGCCCCGCGAUCUACCACUACUAGUGGUGCGGGGGAGAGCGGAGGCAGGCUCCGCCGUGUUCGAAACCUAGGACCUUAAAGUGGUGUGUUCAGCCAGUGUUGUUCGGCAGGCAGCGGACGUCCGGCAGCGUCCUCCACGAUGCGCGGGACCGCGGUGACGGCCGCACUGCUCACUGUGUCCGCCCUCCUCUGCACGGGCAGCAUGCCGCUGUGCACAGCGCUGCCCGCGGACCCUCGCCAGGACCCGGAGUCGCCCAUGCCGUCCCCCAUGGACAUGGCCAUGGACAUGGUCACCGAGUUGCCCCCUUCGGACGCGAGCUCCCCCAUGAACGCGGAGUCGUCCACAGUGGCGGGGACGACGGCAGGGACUGCGGAGGCAACGACGGAAGCCUCGACUGC